CCUAGCUAUCGACCAAUGAAGGAAGAGCUAACGGCAUCGUUGUUCCAAUGAGAUUUUGGCAAGAGGCGGGUGCGCUUGGUUAUCAUUGCGUUUUAUCAAGUUCGUUAGACGUGAUGGGGGCGCGGCAUGUUUUGGACCAGAACAAUAAAAGGACGUAAAAACAAAAAAAAACUGCGGAUGCUGGAAAUCCAAAACAAAAACAGAAUUACCUGGAAAAACUCAGCAGGUCUGGCAGCAUCGGCGGAGAAGAAGAGAGUUGACGUUUCGAGUCCUCAUGACCCUUCAACAGAACUGGGUGGUCAAUGAUUGAUAACUGAGUGGAGCCAGUGUAGGGCGGGUCUUCAUUCAGUUUGCUCAGUGGUUUGAAACGGUAACAAGUCUGAAGCAGGAGGAGCUGCAAUUAUUUCCACAUUGAAUGGUUUGACGUGUUAGUUCAACGUGGCGAAAGGAGACUUAUUUCAGAACCAAAGCAGAAAAAAAAAACAUUUAGUCCAUCGUGCCUAUGCUGGCACUGUGGUAGAACUAACCAAUUAAUGCAUUGGCUGUUAACGUAAUCAAAUGAACUAAAAGCAAGGAUGUUCUCAAGCAAAAUAGGACAUGGAACCACAUAAGGAGAUAUGAGGGCAGAUAACCAAAAGCUUGGUCAAGGAGAUGGAUUUUAAGUGAACAUAAAUUUGAUGCUGUGAGAUUUAUUUAAUAAGGCCCAGGAAUGAUCACUGUUGCUGUUCUCAGAACUCUUUCAAUGUUCUUUCAGAGGAACUGUUAGGCAACAAAUAAUGGGAUUUGUUCAAAAAUGCUCAGAAUUGACCACAAUAUUUGUUCAAGAGCUGUCAUUGGAGCACUGGGAGGAAUGGAAACAUGCACACGACCAGAAAGAUAAGUGAGGGAGAUUACCUAGCCCAGCCAGCUCAUCCUGUUAUGUAAAUCUACUGACCCUUGAACUGUCUCUUGGAAAAAAAUCCAGAUUUUUCAGCAUUAACCUUGGUGGAUGAUCAUUCCAGGUACUGAUAUUCUUGGAUGAAAAAAUUGCUUCUUUAAUAUCAGAUCUUGCCUUUUACCAGUUGACACCUCUUUCUGGUUGAACUUAAAAUACUGAACCAGAUUUACCUUUUCUAUUCUGCAUUGUAUUACACAGACCCCUACAAAGUUCCCUCUUGUUGAUCAACCUUGUGGCUUUUCUUUGCACUGCCUUCACAGGUUAGUCUCUCAUCUGAAUCAGUGACCAGCAAUUAAUCUAGUAAUUAAAGUAUGCCUGACCAGUUUCAGCAUGACAACCCAGACUUAUAUCUUACCGAUUUCUCAAUACAGCUCAGAACUUGUUGAUUACAUAAUGCCUGGACAUGACUGACAAGAUAUUCCUACCCUGGACAUGACUAGCAAGAUAUUCCUAUCCUCAGUUUUGGUUGCACCUGGAGCAUUGUGUGCAGUUUUGGUCUCCUUACCUAAGUUAGGAUAUACUUGCCAUAGAGAGAAUGCAGCAAAGGUUCACCAGAUUGAUUUCUGGGAUGGCAGGAU
Long non-coding RNA from Carcharodon carcharias (great white shark), 1515 nucleotides. RefSeq lists it as uncharacterized. NCBI's taxonomy places the organism in Eukaryota, Metazoa, Chordata, Chondrichthyes, Lamniformes, Lamnidae. The record is from RefSeq and is a predicted model, not a curated record. The transcript is spliced from 3 exons.